Molecule: long non-coding RNA, 651 nt
Organism: Cryptotermes secundus
Lineage: Eukaryota; Metazoa; Arthropoda; Insecta; Blattodea; Kalotermitidae
Exons: 2
Source: RefSeq, a predicted model, not a curated record
GAUUACUGAUGAAUGAAUCUAACAGAUAAUGGAAUGUUUUUGUUUCAGUCACGUUAAAAGGUUGGCUGCCCUGUCUCUGUGACCUAAAUAUCCGGUAUACAAAACCAAGUGUGAAUGUGGAAAGAAUGUGGUCAGAGGACAGCAGCUGUACAUUGCGAGAUAUCCUGAAAAACUGAACCACCUCAACAAAUGCUUUUUGUCUUAUUAAAAUCUUCUGUGAAACAGGAAAUAUUAAUCCAUGGCUGGAGGUCAACAUGAAACUCGGCCUGGUACCAAGACGAAUUGAUUGGCGGUAAACCACCAGUCGUAAAGUAACUUCAACUCUGACUUUGACAAGUUUCAGUUUUUAAGUCCAGGUCUAAAUUCUGAGCUCUCAGUGGAAGAUAAACACAGAAAGUUCAUGUGAAGACUUGUCAUGCGAUUGGAAGACCUUAUUUCUGUGUAGUACUUGAAUGUGUAACCCAGUGAGACUGUAAUAGUUUCUGUGUUGAGAUUCAUUGCCAGGAGAAGACUAGUGAAGACGGAAAAUCCUAGUGUGUGUGCAACAGUGAAAUGGAAAGUGUGUAAAUCAGCAGUAGCACUGUAUUGUCUGUAUUUAAGUGUGAUUACGAGAGGUUGUAGCCAAAGUGGUAAUAAAUCCAAUAAUCUGAA